RNAcentral lists this ribosomal RNA (959 nucleotides) under Geastrum austrominimum. Its description in RNAcentral is "LSU rRNA". It matches the Rfam family "Eukaryotic large subunit ribosomal RNA", at positions 1 to 940 of the family's 3401-position model. The record is from RNAcentral. Lineage: Eukaryota; Fungi; Basidiomycota; Agaricomycetes; Geastrales; Geastraceae.
UUUGACCUCAAAUCAGGUAGGACUACCCGCUGAACUUAAGCAUAUCAAUAAGCGGAGGAAAAGAAACUAACAAGGAUUCCCCUAGUAACGGCGAGUGAAGAGGGAAAAGCUCAAAUUUGAAAUCUGGCAGUCUACGGCUGUCCGAGUUGUAAUCUAGAGAAGUGUUUUCCGUGCUGGACCGUGUACAAGUCCUUUGGAACAAGGCGUCAUAGAGGGUGAGAAUCCCGUCUACGACACGGACUACCAGUGCUCUGUGAUACACUCUCAACGAGUCGAGUUGUUUGGGAAUGCAGCUCAAAAUGGGUGGUAAAUUCCAUCUAAAGCUAAAUACAGGCGAAAGACCGAUAGCGAACAAGUACCGUGAGGGAAAGAUGAAAAGCACUUUGGAAAGAGAGUUAAACAGUACGUGAAAUUGUUGAAAGGGAAACGCUUGAAGUCAGUCGCGUCUUCAGAAAUUCAGCCUGGCUUCUGCCUGGUGUACUUUUCUGUUGGACGGGCCAGCAUCAGUUUUGGCCGCCAGAAAAAGGUGGGAGGAAGGUGGCACCUCCGGGUGUGUUAUAGCCUCUCAUCGUAUGUGGCGGCUGGGACUGAGGACCGCAGCACGCCUUUAAUGGCCGGGGUUCGCCCACGUAACGUGCUUAGGAUGCUGGCGUAAUGGCUUUAAACGACCCGUCUUGAAACACGGACCAAGGAGUCUAACAUGCCUGCGAGUAUUUGGGUGGUAAACCCAUAUGCGGAAUGAAAGUGAACAGUUGGGACUUCUGUCAUGGAAGGCACCGACGCCCGGACCAGACCUAUUGUGACGGAUCCGAGGUAGAGCAUGUAUGUUGGGACCCGAAAGAUGGUGAACUAUGCCUGAGUAGGGUGAAGCCAGAGGAAACUCUGGUGGAGGCUCGUAGCGAUUCUGACGUGCAAAUCGAUCGUCGAACUUGGGUAUAGGGGCGAAAGACUAAUCGAAC